AUACGGUUCUUUCCAGGAGGCUAAUGCUAAAGUGCUGUUGGUGCUGCGGUUGAUUUCUGCUACCUUGGCCCAACGUUUUUUCAGGUUGUGCAGACACACUAAUGCAAGCCCUGACAUAAAGGAAGGUCACGAAAACAAACGCUGCUGACUUAGUCCCUGGUUUUUCAUUUUAGCCCGUUCACGUUUGUCAGUGUGCCAACAUCACAACAUUGGAGGACUUAUUUAAAACCCUGCAUUGACCUUGAAACAGUGCUUCACAUUGGCUACUGAGAAAAUAUUGUAAAGAUAAAUACUGUAACUACUUUGGUAAUAUUCUGGGCAACAAGGAUCAGAUGUAAGGGCAGUCUUCUGGAGAGACGACAGAGUGUGGUUUCA
Molecule: long non-coding RNA, 375 nt
Organism: Esox lucius (northern pike)
Lineage: Eukaryota; Metazoa; Chordata; Actinopteri; Esociformes; Esocidae
Source: Ensembl